GCAAUGGGAUGCGAAUCUCGAAAGCCUGUCUCAGUUCGGAUUGGAGGCUGAAACCCGCCUCCACGAAGUUGGAUUCGCUAGUAAUCGCGCAUCAGCCAUGGCGCGGUGAAUACGUUCCCGGGCCUUGUACACACCGCCCGUCAAGCCAUGGGAGCCGGGGGUGCCUGAAGUUCGUGACCGCAAGGAGCGACCCAGGGCAAAACUGGUGACUGGGGCUAAGUCGUAACAAGGUAAC
RNAcentral lists this ribosomal RNA (235 nucleotides) under uncultured bacterium. RNAcentral describes it as "partial 16S ribosomal RNA". It matches the Rfam family "Bacterial small subunit ribosomal RNA", at positions 1257 to 1500 of the family's 1533-position model. The record is from RNAcentral.